AGGUCAAGCUAUUAAGAGCAUAGGGUGAAUGCCUUGGCACCAGAAGCCGAUGAAGGACGUGAUAAGCUGCGAAAAGCUGCGGAGAGGCGCAAAUAGCCAUUGACCCGCAGAUGUCCGAAUGGGGGAACCCACCUGGGGUAAAUGCCCAGGUACAUGUAUGUGAAUACAUAGCAUACAUGGGGGAGACGUAGGGAACUGAAACAUCUAAGUACCUACAGGAAAAGAAAACAAAAGUGAUUCCGUAAGUAGUGGCGAGCGAAAGCGGAUUAGCCCAAACCGGGGUACAGCAAUGUAGCCCGGGGUUGAGGACCGGCGGAAUGAUUCGGAGUAUCUAGCAGAAUGAGGCACUGGAACGUGCAGACCAUAGAGGGUAAAAGUCCCGUAUGCGAAAGAUAUGAAGACAGGCCGGGAUCCAGAGUACCACAAGGCACGUGAAACCUGGUGGGAAGCAGGGAGGACCACCUUCCAAGGCUAAAUACUAACUGGUGACCGAUAGUGGAGCAGUACCGUGAGGGAAAGGUGAAAAGAACCCCGGGAGGGGAGUGAAAGAGAACCUGAAACCCUAUGUUUACAAGCAGUUGGAGAGCGUUAAGGCUCGACAGCGUACUUUUUGUAGAACGGUCCGGCGAGUUAUAGUAUGUGGCAAGGUUAAGUACUAGAGGUACGGAGCCGAAGGGAAACCGAGUCUUAACAGGGCGACAAAGUCACAUGCCAUAGACCCGAAACCGGGUGACCUAUCCAUGGACAGGUUGAAGCGGGAGUAAAAUCCCGUGGAGGACCGAACCACGUGACCGUUGAAAAGGUCUGGGAUGAGCUGUGGAUAGCGGAGAAAUUCCAAUCGAACUCGGAGAUAGCUGGUUCUCCCCGAAAUAGCUUUAGGGCUAGCCUCUAAUGAAAGUCUAGCGGAGGUAAAGCACUGAAUGGGCUAGGGGCCUUACCAGGUUACCGAACCCUAUCAAACUCAGAAUGCCGUAUAGACGAUGUUAGGGAGUCAGACUACGGGAGAUAAGUUUCGUAGUCAAAAGGGAAACAGCCCAGACCAUCAGCUAAGGUCCCAAAAUCACAGUUAAGUGGAAAAGGAUGUGGGUUUGCUAAGACAACUAGGAUGUUGGCUUAGAAGCAGCCAUUCAUUCAAAGAGUGCGUAAUAGCUCACUAGUCGAGUGAGCCUGCGCCGAAAAUUACCGGGGCUAAACUGUGUACCGAAGCUAUGGAAGCGUGUGUGUUCAAUGGUGUUUCCUAAAGGCAGUGAAGCAAGGGGUAAGCUUCAUCGAAAUCAACCUUGAUUAAAUGAGUAAUUGAAAAAGGAGAUUUCGAUAAAAUUACACCAAAGGCAAAACUGUGUAGGAGAUAGCAUUGAACAUACAUGCUUGGUAGGGGAGCUUACUGUCGUAGGCCGAAGCACGAUCGUGAGGACGUGUGGACGAAACAGUAGUGAGAAUGCCGGAAUAAGUAGCGAGAGUAAAGUGAGAAUCUUUACCGUCGAAAACCUAAGGUUUCCUGGGGAAGGCUCGUCCGCCCAGGGUAAGUCGGGACCUAAGCCGAGGCCGAAAGGCGUAGGCGAUGGACAACAGGUUGAAAUUCCUGUACUACCGUCUCUUGUUUGAGAGAGGUGGGGACGCAGGAGGAUAGGCUAAGCGAGUAACUGGAAAAGCUCGUCCAAGGGAGGUAGAUAGUCCGGUAGGCAAAUCCGCCGGACGUUUCGAAGGCCUGAUGGGGAGGGAAAAUAGAGUACCGAAGUAGCCGAUUCCACACUGACGAGAAAAGCCACUAUCGAGAGAGAAGGUACCCGUACCGCAAACCGACACAGGUAGGUGAGGAGAGAAUCCUAAGACGAGCGGGAGAAGCGUUGUUAAGGAACUCGGCAAAUUGACCCCGUAAGUUCGCGAGAAGGGGUGCCUGUAGGAAUACAGGCCGCAGUGAAAAGGCCCAAGCAACUGUUUAUCAAAAACACAGGUCUCUGCUAAAUCGAAAGAUGACGUAUAGGGGCUGACGCCUGCCCGGUGCUGGAAGGUUACGGGGAAUGCUUAGCGCAAGCGAAGGCAUGAACUUAAGCCCCAGUAAACGGCGGCCGUAACUAUAACGGUCCUAAGGUAGCGAAAUUCCUUGUCAGGUAAGUUCUGACCCGCACGAAUGGCGUAAUGAUUUGGGCACUGUCUCGACAACGCACCCGGUGAAAUUGUAGUACUUGUGAAGAUGCAAGUUACCCGCGACUAGACGGAAAGACCCCAUGGAGCUUUACUGUAGCCUGAUACUGGGUUUCGGUAUUCUUUGUAUAGGAUAGGUGGGAGGCAGAGAAGUAGCGGCGCCAGCCGCUAUGGAGCCGACGUUGGAAUACCACUCUAAGAGUACUGGAACUCUAACCAGAGUCCAUAAGCUGGACUUGGGACACUGUCAGGUGGGCAGUUUGACUGGGGCGGUCGCCUCCCAAAAGGUAACGGAGGCGUCCAAAGGUUACCUCAGCGCGGUUGGAAACCGCGCAACGAGUGCAAAGGCAUAAGGUAGCCUGACUGUGAGAGAGACACCUCGAGCAGGUACGAAAGUAGGGCUUAGUGAUCCGGUGGUAUGAAAGUGGAAUUGCCAUCGCUCAACGGAUAAAAGCUACCCUGGGGAUAACAGGCUUAUCUCCCCCAAGAGUCCACAUCGACGGGGAGGUUUGGCACCUCGAUGUCGGCUCAUCGCAUCCUGGAGCUGUAGCAGGUUCCAAGGGUUUGGCUGUUCGCCAAUUAAAGCGGUACGCGAGCUGGGUUCAGAACGUCGUGAGACAGUUCGGUCCCUAUCUGUCGCGGGCGCAGGAUAUUUGAGGGGAUCUGUCCUUAGUACGAGAGGACCGGGAUGGACGAACCUCUGGUGCACCAGUUGCAUUGCCAAGUGCAGAGCUGGGUAGCCAAGUUCGGCAGGGAUAAACGCUGAAGGCAUCUAAGCGUGAAACCCACCCCAAGAUGAGAUAUCCCAUUCGAAAGAAGUAAGACCCCAUGAAGACUACAUGGUAGAUAGGCCGGAUGUGGAAGUGCAGUAAUGUACGAAGCUGACCGGUACUAAUAGGUCGAGGGCUUGACCAAGAA
RNAcentral lists this ribosomal RNA (3063 nucleotides) under Clostridium thermosuccinogenes. RNAcentral describes it as "bacterial LSU rRNA". It matches the Rfam family "Bacterial large subunit ribosomal RNA". The record is from RNAcentral. Lineage: Bacteria; Bacillati; Bacillota; Clostridia; Eubacteriales; Clostridiaceae.